Molecule: ribosomal RNA, 210 nt
Filed under: uncultured bacterium
Lineage: Bacteria
Description: partial 16S ribosomal RNA
Rfam family: Bacterial small subunit ribosomal RNA
Source: RNAcentral
AGUUCAGAUUGCAGGCUGNAACCCGCCUGCAUGAAGUCGGAAUUGCUAGUAAUCGCGGAUCAGCAUGCCGCGGUGAAUACGUUCCCGGGCCUUGUACACACCGCCCGUCACACCAUGGGAGCCGGUAAUACCCGAAGCCUGUGAGCUAACUUUAUGAGGCAGCAGUCGAAGGUAGAAUCAAUGAUUGGGGUGAAGUCGUAACAAGGUAGC